CAUGAAUUUGUACUCCCAAUCUUGCAAGGCAUCAAGCUCAAAUGCACCAAGGCCAGAAAUAUCCCCUGUGAGAUCUUUUUCCUCAAAGGACAGCUUGGCAAGAGCUCUACUAGCAUCCUUUCCAGCAAACAAUGCAUAAGGUCCCCCAGGUCCAUAGAACAUUCUGCAGGAACACACACAUUAAACACCAAGAUGACAAGUCCUCAGCAUUUCAUAAAGCUUAAUGGUUGAUUAUGAUAUGUUAGGUUUACAUUUGAGUAAGGAACUUAUUCAGACUCGUAUCAAGAUAUUUGAUCCAUCAGGUGAUAAAGUUGUGGAUGAAUUUAAUGUUACAUGACUUUACUGGAUGUAAAUAAAAUUAGAUAAACAACAAACUGAAUAUGUUUUCUGUCUCCUCAAAACCACAACAAAAUAAGAAUGAAUACAUUAGUUAAGAAGACUAGUUGAUUACUAUCCAAACGGUGAUGAACUGAUGAUAGCGAAGCUGUUUGAAUUAAACAUGGAGAACUCGAGCCACUUGUCUAAGAAUUACACACAGGUCACCUUUGCUAUCUUGAGGAAUUGAACCUAAGACAUUAUAAGCCCUUACGACCACUCUCGUCCUUCAACUAGAAUCGCCACCUAACCAACAGAGUUGCACACUUAAUGGACAUUCGAGAACAUCGGGGAAAAGAAUGUUAAUACUAGUGAUAUUACAAGUAUUAGCAUUAAGAGUAGUUAGUUACAAUUAGUUAGUUAUGAGAAAUUCCAGAAGUUAUUUAUACUACUAAGUUAGUUAGCUGUUCAGUUGGAUUAGUUGUAUAUAUAUAUCAGUGUACAACACAAUAGAAAGAUAAUACAAUCAUUCAAUAAUGAAAGCUUCCUCUCUUCACUUCUAAACAUCUCUGUAUUUCUGCUCUCUAUCUUCUCUUCUUUUGUAAAGAGUUCAUCAAGAGCUCAUUGCUUAGUUUCUAUUUUCGCUCAUUCUUCCAAAGAGAACUACAUGGUAUCAGAGCUUUCAAGCUGGACAUUAUUUGCUUGAUAGUGAAUAUUCCGCAAGAUCAGUAUUGAAGUGUAUCAGAUCUUUGAAACAAUUCAAGAAAUGGGGUCAAAUUCUGCAGAUUCUCAGCCUUCAAACCUUGGUAGAAAUGGUGUAUCCAUAGCUGGAAUUGAUCAUAAUCACCCUUUGUUCCUUCAUGCCUCUGAUGUAAGUGGAAUCCAAAUUAUCUCCUUCCAAUUAACUGGAGUAGAGAACUAGAAGUUUGGUAUAGAUCAAUGAAAAUUGCAUUAUUGGGGAGGAACAAGUUGGGGAUGGCUGAUGAGUCAUGUAAGAAAGAAAAUUUUCCAGGGUUAGAGGGUAAUUGGGAAAGGGUUAAUGCCAUUGUCUUGUCGUGGAUCAUGAACUCUAUAUCUAAGAAUCUUUUAGGAGGCAUCAUGUAUGCAUCUAAUGCUAAAGUGGUGUGGGAUGAUUUGUAUGAAAAAUUUAAUAGGAUGGAUGGAUCAAGAACCUUUAAUCUUCACGAAGAAAUUGCAACUCUCAGUCAGGGUACCAGUUAUGUGUCUAUGUUUUACUCUAGGCUCAAGGGGUUAUGGGAAGAGUUUGAAGCUCUAGUUCCUGCACCAGGGUGUGCGUAUGAAGGAUCUAAUGAGUAUGUCCUACAUCUUCAAAAGCUAAAGUUGUUUCAGUUCCUCAUGGGUUUAAAUGACUCAUACUUGCAAGCAAGAAGUCAGAUCCUUAUGAUGGAUCCAGUGCCAGCGUCAAUCAGGCGUAUUCUAUGAUUCUUAGUGAUGAAAACCAGAAGUCAGUUGUGUCAAAUGCAGGUGUGUUGGGUACUACUCCUGCAAAUUUACAAGGUGUGCAGGGGUCAUUUGAUACUGUAAUGUACUCAAGAAUGAAUGGGAAUCAACAAAGAUUCAAGAGAAAAUAUAAUCUAUUUUGUGACCUUUGUAAACUAAAAGGCCACACAAGAGAAAACUGUUUCAAGAUUAUUGGCUACCAGCAGGAUUCUAAGUUUAAAAAGAAAGGAGGGAACAACUCAGCCUAUAAUGUGGUUACUGAAGUUGGGGAUGAUGUGAGAUCAGGUGGGCAGUUUCAGGUGAAUCAGAACACUAAUUACACUGGAAUUGCAGGAACUGAGUCAUUGGUAUAUGAUAAAGGACAAUAUUCAGGAACUAAGCCUUCUCAACAAAGUGAACUGGAGUCAUGUACCUUAAUGAAAGAGCAAUAUAGUCAAAUCUUGCAGUUUCUCAAAAAGAAGUCAGAAGCUUCACAUUGUGCAAAUGUGGCAGGUAUGAACAUUGCACUUGUAGCUCAUACAGGAAAUCUAGAGUGGAUAGUAGAUACAGGUGCUACCAACCAUAUGGUAGUUGAUCUAAGUUUACUGGAUAGUCGGUCCAUAUUCAAAGUUGAAAAUCCAAAGAAAGUACACCUUCCUAAUGGUAAUGUAGCCUUGAUUACACAUUUAGGUUCAAGCCAAAUAAGUGAAAGAGACACAGUGUCUGGAGUUUUUUACAUCCCUCAGUUUAUAAGAGGUUGAUAGGAAAGCUACUCUAUCUUACCAUGACCAGACCAGACAUAUCAUUUCGGGUACAAAACUUAAGUCAAUUUCUCCAACAUCCAAAAAAGACACAUAUAGAAGCAGCUCUGAGAAUUUUUAGAUACAUAAAAGGUUAGCCUGGUCAAUGAGUCUUAUUAUCAAGCACACAAGAUAACAACAUUUCAGCCUACUGUGAUGCAGAUUGGGCAUCAUGCCCUCUCACAAGGAAAUCUGUAACUGGAUACUUUAUUAAAUUGGGUGAUUCUAAAGUCUCUUGGAAAUUAAAGAAACAGUCGACUAUUUCCAGAAGUUCAGCAGAAGCUGAAUACAUGAGCAUAGCCACUAUUGUGACUGAGGUUAUCUGGAUAAUAGGCCUCAUGAAGGACCUAGGAAUUGAAGUACAGAAGCCAGUGAAUGUCUUCACAGAUAGCAAAACAGAAAUCCUACUUGCAGCUAAUCCAAUUUAUCAUGAAAGGCCUAAGCACAUUGAGAUCGAUUGCCAUUUUAUAAAGGAGAAGAUUGUACAAGGACUAAUAUCAUAUAUUAUUAUAAGUGGGAAGAAUCUAAGUAAAAAGUUGAAUUACAAUUUUAUCCCUACAUUAAAUUAAAAUUUUAAAAAAUAUUUAAUAAAUUAAAUAAAUUUGACAUGAUAGUUAAUGCAUACAAUAUUUUUUUCAUCUUCCUCUCUAAUGAAUGUUUGACAAUUUAUUCUUUUAAGAAAACUUCUAUUAAAUGAUAAUUUAGCUGCAAUAACUUAUCCAACUCCCAUUUAAUUUUAAUUUAAGCAGAGCAUAAUACAGGGUAAGUGUGGGGGAUUAUUCAUCUUCUAAUAGUCAGUUUACUUUUCAGUUUAAAUGGUUUUUGGCUUUUGAUCUUCCUCUGGUAAUACUAAUAAUUAUGUAUAAUUUCUUAUAUCUUUUAUUGCGGUACAUAAAUGAAUAAUUUAUACUUUACCUCUUCUUUAUGUUAGAGUUUUUCCUCUAUAAAAACUAUUGACCCUUCUCAUUUGAACUUGCUAUAAUCCAUACCUAAAUUUGCAUUGCAUAGCACCAUUUGGACGGGUACGUAAUCUAUUUUUUUUUUCAUGUUAAAUCAGUUUUGCGUUCAAUUUAUGUUUAACAUUUACUAUUUAGGUUGUGUAUUUAUGUGUAUAUUAUUUCUAUGAAAAAAAUAUAUUGUACUUAAUUAGUUUCUUAUGAAGUCUUUACCAACAGGAAAUGUUAUUGUUUUUCAAUUGUUUCUUGGCAUCCAUAUAUGAUAAGAUGAUGUAGAGAUAUAACCCAUGUUAAAUAGGUGUAGUAAGAUUUAUUUAUUUUCCCCCUUCUUCACUUUUGAUGACCAAUCUCUCAAAAUUUUAUGAUUUUGGUUGGUUAACGAUCAUACUAUUUUUUUCUCGGUUGGAAAAAAAUAUGUGCUCUAGACAAUUAUCAAGACAUGUGAGUGUGACUAUAAACUAAGAAAUCUAUUUGACAGGUACGAAAGCAUGAUAGCCUUGUGCUUAGCACCAAACUUUUGUUUGAUAUAUCCCCUGUAUUCUCCAAUUUAAACUUUCAAUUUGAUCUCNNNNNNNNNNNNNNNNNNNNNNNNNNNNNNNNNNNNNNNNNNNNNNNNNNNNNNNNNNNNNNNNNNNNNNNNNNNNNNNNNNNNNNNNNNNNNNNNNNNNAUGACAUUAUAGCUAUAAAUAUACAGUUGAAUAAUAAAAAUAAUAAUAAUAUGGGAUACACGUGCAAAGCACGUGUCCAGAUACUAGUGUACAAAAUAUAUACCAACACAAGAGCAGCCGGCUGACAUGCUAACCAAAGGAUUGACUAAAGUUCAACACCAGUUCCUUAGUUCCAAGCUUGGAGUUCAAAACAUUUUUUCACUUCCAAGCUUGAGGGGGUGUGUUAAUACUAGUGAUAUUACAAGUAUUAGCAUAUAAGAGUAGUUAGUUACAAGGAAAAAUUACUUGGAUUGGUACCUUUUAAUAAAUAAUUACUGAUUUUAGCGAUAUUUUUUAUUUAUUACCAUUUAUAGCAAUACAUAACAAUACUAUAUUAAAUCUUCAAUAUGUAUUAAAAGUGAAUUAUGUAUGCAAUAUAUAUGUAUUAUAACUGUUUUUUAAAAUAUAAUGCCUGUUUGGUAAGAAAUUGACACAUUAUAUAAUAAGUGUAUUAAAAUGUGUGAUAAAUGUAUUAUCCAUCAAUAAAAAUUGUAUUAUAUGUGAAUAAUAAAUUGUUAUUUGUAAUAUGUAUUAAAACUGUAUUAUAAAUGUAUUAGAAGUGAUCAAGUGAAAAAACAAUAUUAUUGCUAUAAAUGGUAAAUAUUUUUUUAUUGUAGUAUAUUUAUGUAAGUUCCCAGUCAGUUAUGAGAAAUUCCAGAAGUUAGUUAUACUACCUAAGUUAGUCGCAUAAUUUCUAAAAGUUGGCUUGUAAAUGUGAAAAUAAGCCUGAACAAAUGGUGAGAUUAUAUGCAAUGCUUCCCAAACUCAUUACGAAGGUCCUCAUAAAGUUUUUGGAUGCUCCAAGGCGUCAGAUCCAUGAGUUUAUACACACUAAAGUGAGAAAGUCGCGUAACUCCUAAAUGUUGGCUUGUAAAUUUGAAAAUAUGUCUUAAAACGGUGGGACUAUACACAAUGUUUCCCAAACUCAUUAUGGAAGUCCUCAUAAAGUUUUUUAAGAAAACAUUUUGGGUUCUCCAAGGCGCCAGAUCCAUGGGCUAAUGUACAUGAAAAACCGAGAAGGUCGUGUAUUUCCUAAAAGUUGGCUUGUAAAUGCGAAAAUAUGUCUUAAAAUAGUGGGACUAUACACAAUGCUUCCCCAACUCAUUACGACGGUCCUCAUAAAAAAAUUAGAAUUUUUUUAGGGUGUUCCAAGACGCCAGAUCAAUGAGCUAAUACAUAUGAAAAACUGAGAAAGUCGCAUAAUUUCUAAAAGUUGACUUCUAAAUUAUAUGCCUUAAAAAUAGUGGGAAUAUACACAAUUCUUCCUCAAAUCAUAAUGGAGGUCCUCAUAAAGUUUGUUAGGAAAAAUAUUUUGGGUGCCCAAGCGUGCCAAACAGUGGCGGAUCCAAGAUUUAGAGUCUGUGGGUGCCAAAUAGACUUAUCAAUUAAAUUAAUUUUAUAUUUGAUUAAAUUAUUCGUCUUUUCGAUAUAUAUCAUAAAUCAAUCAAUAAAAUAUAAAUAAUAAGAUAUUACACUUUUAUUGAGUAUUUAAUCAAUUAAAAGAAAAGACAAAGGAGUAAUAAUGUAAUUAAGUUAAUUUAAGUCAAUAAAAAUUAUUUUAAAAAAUAAUAAUAAAUUGUGCCAGCUGUUUUUCCUUAAAAAACGUGUUUGGAGCCUCUUUUUUUUCUUAAAAAACGUCUGCAACAAAUUUCUCAAAAAAAAUAGGUACAAAUGGGAUUCGAACCCGCAACAUCAGCCUUCUAAAGUUGCCCUCCUACCGUGGCACCACAAGCCAAUUUUGUUCUGUGGGUGGACGCUUUAUAUUUAUCUAAAUAUUAUAUAUAUAUAUAUAUACCUAUGUAUAUAUAGAGUUUUCGUCGAAGUUCGGGGGUGGCGUGGCACCCCCACACCUCUUCAUAGAUCCGCCCCUGGUGCCAGAUCAACAUGCUAAUACAUAUGAAAAAUCGAGAAAGUCAUGUAAUUUCUAAAAGUUUGCUUGUAUAUGCAAAAUUAUUCCUUAAAUAUGGUGGGACUAUACGCAAUACUUCCGCAACUCGUUAUGGAAGUCUUUAUAAAGUUUUUUGAGAAAAAAGUUUUGGGUGCUACAAGACGCCAUAUACAUGGGCUACUAAUACACAAAAAAAAAAAAUCAAGCAGGUCGUGUUAUUCCUAAUAAUCGACUUGUAAAUGUAAAAAUAUGCCUUAAAAUAUGGAGGGACUAAAUGUAAUGCUUUCCCAACUCAUUACAGAGGUCCUCAUUAAGUUUUUUUAGAAUUUUUUUUUGGGUACUCCCAGACACCUGAUCCAUGGGCUAAUACACACAAAAAUCUGAGAAAGUCGACUAGCUUCUAAAAAUUAGCUUGUAAAUGUUAAAAUAUGCCUUAAAAUGGUGGGACUAUACGCAAUGCUUCCCCAACACACGAAAAAUAGAUAAAAUUGUGAAAGUCCUAAAAGUUUGUUUGUAAAUGCAAAAAUAUGUCUUAAAAAUGGUGGGACUAUACGCAAUGCUUCCCCAACACACGAAAAAUAGAUAAAAUUGUGAAAGUCCUAAAAGUUUGUUUGUAAAUGCAAAAAUAUGUCUUAAAAAUGGUGGGACUAUAUGCAUUCUUUCCUAACUCAUUACGGAGGUACUCAUAAAAUUUUCUCAUAAAUUUGUUUUUGGGUAAGGGCUAAUAUACAGGAAACCAAGAAAGUUGCGUAAUACCUAAAAGUGUGCUUGUAAAUGUGAUAAUGUGCCUUGAAAUGGUUGGACUAUACACAUUGUUUUCCCAACUCAUUACAAAGGUCCUCAUAAAGUUUUUUCAAAAAAUCAUUUUGGGUGCUCCAAGGCUCCAGAUCUAAGGGCUAAUAUACAUGCAAAUCGAGAAAGAUGGGUAAUUCCUAAUAGUGGGCUUGUAAAUGUUAUAAAAUGCCUUAAAAAUUGAGUGUCUAUAUGUAAUGUUUCCCCAACUCAUUACGGAGGUCCUCAUAAAAUUUUUAAAGAAAGAUACUAGGGUCCUCCAAGGCGCCAUUCCAGGGGCAAAUAGACACUAAAAUCGAGAAAGUGUGUAAUUUUUAUAAGUUGGCUUGUAAAUGUGAAAAUAUAUCUUAAAAAUGGUGGGACAGUACGCAAAGCUAACCCAAUUCAUUACAUAGGUCAUCUUAAAGUUUUUUCAGAAAAUUAUUUUAGGUGCUCCAAGGCACCAGACAUUGGUUAAUACACACAAAAAAAUUGAAAUUUUUUUUGCGUAAAUUCUAAAAGUUGGCUUGUAAAUGCGAAAAUAUGCCUUAAUAUGGUGGGACUAUACGCAAUCCUUCUCCAACUCAUUACGGAAGUCCUCAUAAAGUUAUUUUUGAAGAAAAAAAAUGGGUGCUCCAAGGCAUCAAAUCCAUGGGUUAAUAUAGAAGAAAAACUGAGAAAAUCACGUAAUUUCUAAAAGUUUGCUUGUAAAUGCGAAAAUAUGCCUUAAAAAUAGUAGGACUAUACGCAAUGCUUCCCCCAACUAAUUACAGAGGUACUCAUAAAGUUAUUUUUGAAUUAAUUUUUGGAAGCUGAGAAGCGUCAGAUCCAUGAGUUAAUACAUACGAAAAACUGAGAAAGUCACGUAAUUCGUAAAAGUUGGCAUGUAAAUGCAAAAAUCUGCCUUAAAAUGGAGUGACUAUACGCAAUUCUUCCCAACUAAAGACGAAGGUCCUCAUACAGUUUUUUCAGAAAAAAAAUUUGGGUUCUCCAAGGCGCCAGAUCCAUGGACUAAUAUACACAAAAAACUGAGUUAGUCUAGAAUUUCCUAAAAACAGAGUUGUAAAUGCGGAAAUAUGAUUUAAAAAUUGUGUGACUGUACGCAAUGCUUACCCACCUCAUUACAGAAGUCCUCAUAAAAUUUUCUCAGAAAAACAUUUUUGGGUGCUUCAAGGCGUCAAAUCCAUGGGCAUUAGAAAAUAAAAAAUUGAGAAAGUCACAUAACUCCUAAAAGUUGGCUUGUAAAUGCAAAAUAUGCCUUAAAACGGUGGGACUAUACAUAAUUCUUCCCCAACUUAUUACAGAGGUCCACAUAAAUAUUUUUCUGAAAAUCUUUUUAGGUGCUCCAAGGUGUUUGAUCCAUGAGUUAAUACACACGAAAAAUCGAGAACGUCGCGUAAUUCCUAAAAAUUGACUUGUAAAUGCGAAAAUGUGCCUUAAAAUUGUAGGAUUAUAAGCAAUGAUUCCUCAACUCAUUAGUCAUUACGAAGGUCUUCUUAAAGUUUUUUCAAAAAAAAAAUUUGAGUUCUUCAAGAUGCAAGAUCGAUGGGCAUUAACACAUAUAAAACUGAGAAAGUCGCGUAAUUUCUAAAAGUUGGCUUGUUAUUACAAAAAUAAGCCUUAAAAUGGCGGGACUAUACGCAAUGCUUCCCCAACUCAUUACGGAGAUCCUUAUAAAAAAAUCAAAUUCUUUUUGCGUUCUCCAAGGCACCACAUCCAGGGGCUGAUACACACAAAAAACUGAGAAAGUCACGUAAUUCCUAAAAUUUGGCUUGUAAAUAUGAAAAAAUAUCUUAAAAUGAUGAGAUAAUAUGCAACGCUUCCCCAACUCACUACGGAUGUCCACAAAAUAUUUUUCAGAAAAAAUAUUUGGUGCUCCAAGGCGCCAGAUCCAUGGGUUUAUACACACGAAAAAUUGAGAAAGUCGCAUAUUUCCUCAAAGUUGGCUUGUAAAUGCGAAAAUAUGCCUUAAAAAUGGUAAGACUAUACACAAUGUCUCCCCAACUCCCUACGGAGGUUCUCAUAAAGUUUUUUCAGAAAAAAAUAUGGGUGCUCCAAGAUGCCAGAACCAUGGGAUAAUACACACGAAAGUUCGAGAAAAUCCUGUAAUUCCUAAAAGUUGAAUUGUAAAUGUGAAAAUAUGUCUUAAAAAUGGUAAGACUACACACAAUACUUCCCAAAGUCAUUACCAAGGUCACCAUAAUUUUUUGGAAUUUUUUUUUGGGGGCUCCAAGGUGCUAGAUCCAUGGCUAAUACACACGAAAAACUGAAAAAGUUGAGUAAUUUCUAAAAGUUGGCUCGUAAAUGUGAAAAUAUGCCUUAAAAAUGGUGGUACUAUACGCAAUGCUUCCUUAACUCAUUGCGGAAGUCCCCGUAAAGUUUUUAGUUAGAAUUUUAAGGUGCUCCAAGGUGCCAGAUCCAUGGGCUAAUACACAUGAAAAAUUGAGAAAGUCGUGUAAUUUCUAAAAGGUGGCAUGUAAAUGCAAAAAUAUUACUUAAAAAUGGGGGGACAAUAUGCAAUGCUUUCUCAAUUCAUUACGGAGGUUCUCACAAAGUUUUUUCAGAAACUCUUUUUGGAUGCUCCAAAGUGCGAGAUCAAUGGGCUAAUAUACACGAAAAUCUGUGAAAGUCGUGUAAUUCCUAAUAGUUGGCUUGUCAAUGUGAACAUAUGCCUUAAAAUAGUGGGAUUAUAAGCAAUUCUUCCAUAACUCGUUAUUGAGGUCCUCAUAAAGUUUUUUCAUAAAAUUAUUUUGACUGCUCCAAGGUGCCAGAUCCAUAAGCUAAAACACAUAAAACCCGAGAAAUUCAUAUAAUUUGAAAAGUUGACUUGAAAAUGUGAAAAUAUAUCUCACAAAAAUGGUGGGACUAUACGCAAUGAUUCCCCGACUCACUACAAAGGUCCUCAUAAAUGUUUUUGAGAAAAUUAUUUUGGGUACUCCAAGGCGCCAAAUCCAUGAAAAAUACACACGAUAACCGAGAAAGUCACGUAAUUCCUAAAAAUUGUCAUACAAAUGCGAAAAUAUGCUUUAAAAAUUGUGGGACUAUAUGCAAUGUUUCACAACACAUUACAAAGGUACUCAUAAAGUUUUUUCAAAAAAUAUUUUUUGGUGCUACAAGGCAUUAGAUCCAUGGACUAAUACACAAUAAAAAAAUAAAAAAAAUCGUGUAAUUCCUAAAAGUUGGAUGGUAAUGCCAAAACAUGCCUUAAGAAUGGUGAGACCGUACCCAAUGCUUCCCUAACUCAUGACAGAGGUCCUCAUAAAGUUUCUUCAAAAAAAAAAUUGGGUGUUCCAAGGCCCCAGAUCCAUGAGCAAAUACAUAUGAAAAACCAAGAAAGUCGUGUUAUUCCUAAAAGAUUGAUUGUAAAUGCGAAAAUAUGCCUUAACAUGGUGGACAAUAAGCAAUGCUUUCCCCAAUUCAUUACAGAGGUUCGCAUAAAAAAAAUUCAGAAACUUUUUUUGGUGCUUCAAGGCUUCAGACACAUGGGCUAAUACACACGAAAAAUCAAUAAAUUUGUGUAAUUCCUAAAAGUUAGCUGGUAUAUGUGAAAAUAUGCCUUGAAAAUUGUGGGACUAUAAGCAAUGCUUCUCCAACUCAUUGCAGAUUUUUUCAUAGUUUUUUCAAAUUAUUUUUUUUUGGUGCUACAAGGCGUUAUAUCAAUGGGCUAAUUCACACUAAAAACUGAGAAAGUCACGUAAUUCUUAAAUUUUGGCUUGUAAAUGUAAAAAUACGCAUUAAAAAUGGCGGAACUAUACACAAUGUUUCCCCAAGGUCCUCAUAAAGUUUAUUCAGAAAAAACUUUUGGUUGCUCCAAGGCGCCAGAUCCAUAGGCUAAGUACUACAUGAAACCUCACCAUUUGUUUCACAUAUUUUGGACAUUUUAGGAGCCAUUUUAAAGGAAUUAGGUGAUUUUUCUAGUUUUUUGUAUGUCUUAGUCCAUGAAUUUUUUGUGGAUAUGGCUUCUGAAUGACUUCUUUACAAAACAUUUACGGAACUCCCAUAUGGAGUUGGGAUAGUGGUACGUGAAGUCUCACAAUUUUUUGUACAUAUUACGGGUAUUUAGGAUCAAAUUUUUUUAUCGAAAUUAGAAGAUUUUCUUUGUUUUCGUAUGUGUUAGCCCAUGAAUAUUUUGGUGAUAUGAAUUUCAAUUUUUUUGCAAAACCUUGAUGAAACCCUCCGUAGGGAGUUAGGGGGGGAGGGUCGUACUUGAAGCCUCAUCUUUUUCGCACAUAUUUUGGGCAUUUAGGAUCCAUUUUACAAGAAUAACGCAAUUUUCUUAGUUCGUGUGUUAGCCUAUUAUUAUUUUCUGAUAUGACUUUCGGAUGAUUUUCUACAAACCUCUACGGAACCCUCUGUAGGGAGUCUAGGGAGCGGCACAUCAAGUCUCACCAUUUUUUUGCACAUAUUUUGGGCAUUUAGGUGCCAUUUUAUAGGAAUUAGGCGAUUUUUUCAGUUUUUCAUGUGUGUUAGCAUGUGAAUAUUUUGGUGAUCAUAUUUCCAGUCAAUUUUAUUUUUUUGCAAAACCUUUACGGAACAUUCUUUUGGUAUUUGUGGGAGCAACACAUGAAACCUCACUAUUUUGUGCACAUAUAUUGGGCAUUUAUGAGCCAUUUUACAUAAAUUAGGUGGUUUUCUUGGUUUUUUUUUGUAUGUAUUAGCCAAUGAAUAUUUUGGUGAUACAACUUUCGAAUGAUUUUCUUGCAAAAACUUGCAGGAACACUGCGUAGGGAGUUGGGGGAGCAAUACGUGAAGCCUCACCAUUUUGUGUAUAUAUUUUGGGAAUUUAGGAGUACUAAUUAGGUUAUUUUUCUCAAUUUUUUUGUAUGUGUUAGCCAAUAAAUAUUUUAGUCAUAUGACUUUUAGACAAUUUUCUUGAAAACCCCUUACGGAACCCUCCGUAGAGAAUUGAGAGAGCAUUACGUGAAGCCUUAUUUCUUUUGCACAUAUUUUGGGCAUUGAGUAGCUAUUUUAUAGAAAUAGGUGAUGUGUGUUAACCCAUGAAUAAUAUGGUGAUAUGGAUUUCAGAUCAUUUUUUUGUAAAACCUUUACGAAAUCCUCUAAAGAGAGUUGGGAGAGCAAUACAUGAAGCUUUACUAUUAUUUGCACAUAUUUAGGACAUUUAGGACUCAUUUUAAAGGGACUAGGUGAUUUUUUUUCCAGUUAUUCGUGUAGGUUAGCCUAUUGAAUAAUUUGGUGAUAUGGGUUUCGAAUGAAUUUUAUUUUAAACAUUUAUGGAACCCUCUGUAGGGAGUUAAGGGAGCAGUAAGUCAAGCCUCAACAUUUUUUACAUAUAUUUGGGCAUUUAUGAACAUUUUUUAGGAAUUAGGUAAUUUUAUCAGUUUUUUUUGUGUUUGUUAGCCCAUGAAUAUUUUGGGUGCAUGACUUUUGGACGAUUUUUCUAUAAAACUAGGGAGUUCGGGGAGCAGUACCUGAAGCCUCACCAUUUUUUCACAUAUUUUGGGCAUUUAGGAGCCAUUUUACAGGAAUUAUGCGAUUUUUCUAUGUUUUUCGUGUGAGUUAACUCAUGAAUAUUUUGGUGAUAUGGCUUCUAGACAAUAUUUUUGCAAAACCUUUACAGAACCCUUCGUAGAGAGUUGUGGGAGCAGUAAUGAAGCCUCACCAUUUUUGCACAUAUUUUUGACAUUUAGGAGCUAUUUUGCAGGAAUGAUACAAUUUUUCUCAAUUUUUCAUGUUUGUUAGCUCAUGAAUAUUUUGGUUAUAUGGUUUUCAGAUGAUUUUUCUGCAAAACCUUUACAAUACCCCUAUAGGGAGUUAGAGGAGAAGUACGUGAAGCCUCACCUUUUUAUCCAUAUAUUUUGGGCAUUUAGCAGCAAUUUUACACAGCUUAGGUAAUUUUUUCAAUUUUUCGUGUGUAUUAGCUCAUGAAUAUUUUGGUGAUAUGGUUUCUAGACAAUUUUCUAGCAAAACCUUUACGGAAACCUUUGUAGAGAGUGAAACCUUAUUUUUUUCACACAUAUUUUUGGCAUUGAGGAGUCAUUUUACAGUAAUUAGGCAAUUUUCUAAGUUAUUUUUAGGCGGAACCCACCGACAGCCCCUUAAAGUUGACACCAAUUUUUACUUAGACACCUCAAGUAGGCUUUGUUCAUUUUAAACGCCUAAAGUAGGGCCCCGGUGUGUCAUUUUGACCUUUUUAACAAUCAGCUAAAAUUAUAAAGUGUGUAAUACACUUGUGAAUGACAUGACAUGAUGACUAAUUAGAGGUUGACAUGUGGCAUUUUAGUAUAAAAAUAAUAAUUUUAAAAUAAAUUAUAACAAAAAACUAUUUUUCCAUAAAAUAAAUAAAUAAAAUUACCUAUUUUGUACCACUGCCAUCCCCACCUUACAACACCCCGCCCACACUCCAUCAGCCUUACUUCAGCCAUUUUUGCCUCCCCAACCCUCCCACCAUUUUUUGGUUAUUAUUCCCUUUUUAAAAAAAAAAAUCAUUAGAUUUUAAUCUUUCUUUUUUCGUCGUAAAUUUGAUUUUGAGAACCAUUUUAUCGAUAGUGAGGUGAGGUUCUGACAAAUAUGACAUUCUUCUUAUAUUAUUCUUUUUUGAAAAAAAAUGUGUGUUCUGUUCGAAUAAAUGUUUUCAAAAUUAGUGUGAUGAUUUUUUAAAAUUUUGUUCAUGUAAAUAUUUUUAAAAUUAGUGUGAUAAUUUUUUUAUUUUAUUUUUUCAUAUUUUGUAAGGUUUUUCAUCAUGAUUUUUCAUGGUGGAAGGUGGAAUAAGUGGUAGGGAUAAAGAGUGAAGAAGAGAAGGAAAAAGUAUUUAAAAAAUAAAAAAAAGCACUCCUCACACGCUCAAAAUGGGUGCAGCACACCCAAUGUGUCAAAUCAGUAGAAAGUGUCAAAAUGACACAGCGGGACUCAACAUGAGGUGUCUAAAAUGAACAAAUUUUAGUUAACGUGUCUAAGUAAAAAUUGAUGCCAACUUUGGAGGGCCACCGAUGGGUUCAACCUUUUUUUUAUAUAUGUUAACCCAUUAAUAAAUUGGUGAUAUGGCUUUCAGAUAGUUUUUUUUUUUUUUGCAAAACCUUUACAGAACCUUCUAUUGGGAGUUGGAGAAGUAGUAUGUGAAGCCUUACCACUUUUUGCACAUACUUUGGGCAUUUAGGAGCUAUUUUGAAGGAAUUGAGUGAUUUUUCUUAGGAGCUAUUGAAUAUUUUGGUAAUAUGACUUUUGAAUGUUUUUUUUGUAAAACCUUUACGGAACCUUCCAUAGGGAGUUGGGGGGAAGCAGUAUGUGAAGCCUCAUCAUUUUUUGCACAUAUUUUGGGCAUUUAGGAGCCUUUUUUUUUUAUAGGAAUUAGACGAUUUUCUCAGUUUUUCGUGUGUGGUAACCCAUGAAUAUUUUGGUGAUAUGAUUUUCAGACUUUUUUUUUUUUUUGCAAAACCUUUACAAAACCCUUUGUAGGGAGUUAAGGGAAUAGGUUUUUAACCCUUACCAUUUUAUGAGCCAUUUUAUAGGUGGAAUUAGAUGAUUUUUCUCAGUUUUUCAUGUGUUAGCCCAUGAGUAUUUUGGUGAUUGUUCACAUCCAUUAAGGUGCAACGUCGUGGUGACUCAAAAAAUAAAUAAUUAAUUCAAUUUCAAAGAAUAAAAGAAUUUUAAAAGAAAAGAAAAAUUUUAAGGGAGUCGGCACCUAAUUUUAGGAAAAACUAGGAAACCAAUUAAUUAAUUAAUAUAAAAUAGAAUGUCUACAAAACUAAUAGAUUCUAGACCUAUUCAAGUGAUUCCGAAGGGAAAGUAUUAGGCCUCCUUCAAAAUCUACAACUGUAGAUCCCGAUUGAAUUCAUUUUUUUCAAAUUGAAGAGGAGAUAAAAACAUUGUACAAAUAUAAUAAAUAUGUAAUAUACAGUAAAAUAAUAAUAUAAAAAACCGCCUAACUUUGUGUGACGUCAAUAAUAUACACAAUAAUGAAUCAAAAAAUAUUGUUCGAAUAGCAUCAAUGGGAAGCAACUUUGGGUACCUAUAAAGAUACUUAGUAAUAAUAUUAAUAAGAAUAAAUAUUAACCAAAAUAAAUGAAACUACUAACUCAAAAAAACAACCCAUCUUAUUAGCAUGGAAAACCUUGAAAACCAAUGAUAAUUUCUUUAUCGACCAAUUUUAAGAUAUAGAAGAAUAUGAAUUUAAACUAAAUUUCUGUUUUUUAAAAUAGGAAGACCUCGAAAACCGACGGAGAGAUAUUUUUCAUUAGCCAAUCUAACGUACCCACUUGUUAUCAGUUAAACACAUCCAAAAGAAAUAAGAAAAAAUGACUCGUAUACUACCAAAACAGUUAACAAAAUAUAUUAGCAACAUAACAAUACAUACAUUAAAUAAGAAUCAUCACAAAAAUGUAGAUAAGAUAAGAAUCUAUCCAAAAACAUGUUAAAAGGCACUCAUAACAGGCUGAAACAAAAAAGAAAUUACCAGAAAACAUUAACAAUUACUGGGUGACACAAAAAUAAAAAUAAAACUGGUCGGAGUUUGAGCUCCUCCGGCCAAAGUUGAAACGAACAAAGUGAAUCACCUGAAAUGCAACAAAUAACAGAGUAACAUAGAAGAGCAAAAACAACGUAAAACAACAUUCUAUUUUAGUUAGAUUAUUGUUGGAGUGUGGAGUCUUGUUUGAUAUUGGUACGAAUGUCUUGUAUGAUGAGAUUACUUUGAACAUCGUGCUUGAUGACAUCUAGAAUUUUCCCUGUUGAUUCGGUUGAUUGAGUGAUGCAAGCCCUUGAAAUGAUCUUAGGCAAGAAUUUUGAAAAGUGAACCAACUUGACAAUAUACCUCUUUUGUGGUCAACAUUGUGAGGUAUGUGAACCUAGCUUGGCACCUUUUGAGUUUUACCUCUUUCCUUGGAAGAAACUUGAACAAUUGUGACCUCUCUUUAUCCAGACCCAUAACUUUCAUGAAGUAUGGUUUGUUUGAAUAGCCAACUUAGGCCAAAAGCCUAAGUUGGGAGUGUGGUGAAAGAGAAGGGAAGUCAAGAGUGUAAAAAUUUCCCCUAGAUUUUGGAUUGUUGUGAAAAAGAUGAAACCCCUCCAUGUCAAGAGUGUGAAAAAUCCCCCCUAGAUUUCGUAACAUAGAAGUAAAAGCUUAAACCUCAUCGGAAAUGGAGCUUUUGGUGUUGUUUGUAGGUUAUUGUUGGUCACUCUGAUGGUUGAUUGGCGGAGAAGUGGGUUGAGCGGUGGUUCUCACUGGAGAAAGGAGAAAAACGAAUGUGGGGUUCGGGUGGCUUUUUGCUGGAGUUGUUGUUCGUUGUUGUUCCACCGCCGUUUGAGGUCGUUGGUAGGUCGGACUAAUCAGAAAUACAAAUGAACAGUAAAAUUCAUUAGUAAAACAUGUAUUUUGAAUUAUUUAAGGAAUAAAAUAUUUAAAAGUAUUAACUUUGAAAAAUAUCAGAUCAAAAUUUGGUGUAAACAAUAAUAUGGCUUCAGGAUGUAUUCAAAAAAUGGGAAAUUAUUAAUAAAUUGAUUAAAAUUGUAAAACAUAUAUUUUGAACUAUUAAGGAACAAAAUAUUUAAGAGUAUUAACUUUAAAAAAUAUCAGACCAAAAUUUGGUGUCAACAGUAAUAUGGCUUCCAGAUGAUUUUUUUUUUGCAAAACCUUUACAGAACCCUUUGUAGGAAGUUAGGGGAGAAGUACGUGAAGUCUCAACAUAUUUAGAGGAUUAUGCGAUUUUCUCAACUCUUCAUGUAAGGUAACCUAUGAAUAUUUUGGUGAUACGACUUCUCGAUAAUUUUUAAUAAAACCUUAUGGAACCCUCUGUAGGGAGUUGGGGAGGGAGCAGUACAUGAACCUCACCAUUUUUUGUUCAUAUAGCAUUUAGGAGUCAUUUAAAAGAAAUUGAGCAAUUUUUUCAAUCUUUUCGUAUGUAAGCCCAUUGAAUAUUUUGGUGAUAUGACUUCCGGACAAUAUUAUUGCAAAAUCUUUACGAAACCCUCCAUAGGAUAAGUAAGUGUAGCCUCACCAUUUUUUGAACAUAUUUUGGUAAUAUGACUUUCGGAUGAUGUUUUUGCAAAACCUUUACUUCUUCAUAGGUUGGGUGAGCAGUGCGUAAAGUCUCACUGUUAUUUGGACUUGUUUACUUAAUCAGGCGAUUUUCUCAAUUUUUCGUGUGUUGACCCAUGAAUAUUUUGAUGAUAUGGUAAUACCUUUAUCAUAAUUUCGGAGAGCAAUAUGUUCAGCCUCUAAAUUUUUCACACACAUUUUGGGCAUUUAGGAGCCAUUUUAUUUAUGCAAUUUUCUCAAUUUUCGUGCGUUAUAAUGAAUAUUUUAAUGAUAUAACUUACAAACAAUUUUUGCAAAACUUGUAUGGGAACCCUUCGUAAGGGAGACUCUGUAGCCUCACAAUUUUUUGCACAUAUUUGCGACAUUUAAGAGCUAUUUCUUAGACAUUUUCUUAUAAUUUUUUACGAGAAGCAAUCAAUUCGUGAAGCAUCACCAUUUUUUGCUCAUAUUUUGGACAUAUAGAAGUCAUUUUACAGAAAUCAGGCGAUUAUUUUCUUAGUUUUUUGUUUGUGAUUUUUUUGCAAAAUCUCUUCAUAGGCCUCGCCCCGACGCUCACCCGCCCGGAGGCAUAAGGCCCUCCAAUGAGGAAUCACCCCGGAGGUGUCCUUUACACCUGCUGAAGUGCUCCGACCCGCCCUCCCACCAGCUUAUUGAGGCACCCAUGCCCGGAGAGCCCANNNNNNNNNNNNNNNNNNNNNNNNNNNNNNNNNNNNNNNNNNNNNNNNNNNNNNNNNNNNNNNNNNNNNNNNNNNNNNNNNNNNNNNNNNNNNNNNNNNNNNNNNNNNNNNNNNNNNNNNNNNNNNNNNNNNNNNNNNNNNNNNNNNNNNNNNNNNNNNNNNNNNNNNNNNNNNNNNNNNNNNNNNNNNNNNNNNNNNNNNNNNNNNNNNNNNNNNNNNNNNNNNNNNNNNNNNNNNNNNNNNNNNNNNNNNNNNNNNNNNNNNNNNNNNNNNNNNNNNNNNNNNNNNNNNNNNNNNNNNNNNNNNNNNNNNNNNNNNNNNNNNNNNNNNNNNNNNNNNNNNNNNNNNNNNNNNNNNNNNNNNNNNNNNNNNNNNNNNNNNNNNNNNNNNNNNNNNNNNNNNNNNNNNNNNNNNNNNNNNNNNNNNNNNNNNNNNNNNNNNNNNNNNNNNNNNNNNNNNNNNNNNNNNNNNNNNNNNNNNNNNNNNNNNNNNNNNNNNNNNNNNNNNNNNNNNNNNNNNNNNNNNNNNNNNNNNNNNNNNNNNNNNNNNNNNNNNNNNNNNNNNNNNNNNNNNNNNNNNNNNNNNNNNNNNNNNNNNNNNNNNNNNNNNNNNNNNNNNNNNNNNNNNNNNNNNNNNNNNNNNNNNNNNNNNNNNNNNNNNNNNNNNNNNNNNNNNNNNNNNNNNNNNNNNNNNNNNNNNNNNNNNNNNNNNNNNNNCGCCCACCCCCGACCUCGAGGCAGCGUGCCCCAAAGCCCCCACCCCUGCCUCGCUCCUCCGCCUUGCGUCAUGCCCACCUGAAAUAUUUUUAAUAUAAAAUAAUUUGAGAAAAAUACUUUUAAGAAGUCAACUUAAUGUUUUUCAAAAAUAUUAUGAAAAUUUUUAUUCAACAAAGAUAUUAAGAACUUUGACACUUAAUUUUUAAUUUCAAUCAAAUGUUUUUCACGCAACUAAUUAAUAUUAUUAAAUUAUUGAUUGAAAAUAUUGAUCAACUAUAAAAAAGUUAUUUUAAAGUAAAUAAAAAUGUCUGUGUCCCUUGAGAAAAAAUUGAAAAUAAGAUAAACUUAGCCAUAUUGAUUAGUUAAGUGGAAAAGCAUUUGAUUGAAAUUAUUAGGUGAGUAAAUUAACGUAAAAAAUGGUAUCUUUAGGAGAAUUUAAUUAAAUUCAAGUUAAAGUUAGAUUAUGCAAAUAAUUACUAUUAAAACAAUAAAUACAAAAAAAGUAAAUAACUUUUUUUGGGCUGUACCUAAGGGUUUGGGCCAGCUGUAUUAAGGUUUUGGGUCUAAUGCUGCACUUUGGGCUUUGGCCCAUGUCACUGUAUAGCUGUGUAUAUACUAGUGUAUAUCAUCUACUUCCCCUGUAUAUUGGACAUAUACAGCCCAUUUUACACCUGUAUCUUAUGUCGUCUAUAUAUCAACUCCAUUUCUUGCAUACUUGCUUCCCUUUCACUCGAACAAGAUGAGGUUGACUCGAUGAAUAUCAGUUGGGUUUCAACCAACUCGAAAUUCAAAGAUGACUAGAUGACUCCCAAUGCAGGUGUCACAUACAAAGAGAAUAAAAUCACAUCAGGAAUGUGAUUUUAAAACUAAAGCAUAUUGUGUAAACUAUGUGCCAAAAGUAUCAUACUAAUUCAAAGCAAUCUAAACAGCGAGAUGUUAACUUCAUUCAACAAUAUUAAGAUGUAUAAUCAAAUUUUCAUUGUUUCUCAAGACCUAACAAUCAAUAGGAAUAUCAUGGUGAAAUAUUCAUACUAAUAUUUUUGAAGGGGCGUGUAAAGUUCAAAGUGGAGACAUCUGAAUAAAUUAUAAGAAAACAAUAACAGUAACUACUAUCACAGGAAUCGGUCCCAGACGCGCCCCAUUGAUAGGCAUUACACCAUGUAAACUGGUGGCACAAAUAGCAAACCAAUGGAUUCAUUGAAGUGAAGAAAUCAAGAAAACGGAGAAGAAGCAGUAGAAUCAAUAUUGCUUGGGCGACUAGGAAUUGAAGAAGUGUUACAAGGGUAAAAUAAAAUUCUGGGAUUGGUAUCUGAAAAUUGCAGUUGUUUCGGCCAUGAUUGGAGGUUCCAUGGAGUUUCUCAUGAUUAAGACUGGAUUUUAUGAUAAAGUGACUGUUCUAGAAGCGGAAAAGAGAGCCUGGGAGAAUUCUCCUGAAGCCAAGGCUGUCAGAGACGCUCUUAAUCUAUGGAGACAUCAGGAUGCAGAAACAUGAAAGGAUUCUUAGCUCUGUCACUUCAGUUAGAGAAUUAUAAGGCAACUCAGGGAUUGGCUUUGAAGGAAAAUUGACCUGACGUAGUGCUUUUUUGGGCUUGCUCCUAUUGAUAUUUCUCAUCGAAUGUUUAUUGAAGAGCGUGUUGCAACUUACAACUGAUUGUUUCAUCAACUUGGUGGUCACUUCCUUGCUCUUUCAAGAUUAGUACUUUGCUUUCCUGGAUCUGCAUGGUUAAGAGAAACAAUCAGUUGCACCUCUGGGAAAAAUAGUGGACUAGAUAGCCAUUUGAGAGAAAAAAAACUACUAUCACAGAGAGGAAAUGUUGGCAUUGAUAGCCUCUUUGGUUAUUACAAGAAUACAUGCUCAGAUAGGAAUUGGUACAAAUCCAGAAUGAAGAAAAGAUAAAUGGAAAAGGAAAAUUGAAGCCAACAGAAAAUAACAAUCAAUAAAUACCUGAAAAUUGCUUUGAGAAGAACAAAGAUGAGGUAUUUCUUGAAAAACUUAUUUGAAAAGAUAGAGAAUGAAGACAUAGACAGAGAUGAGCAAACAAAGAUGACUAAAUUAAUCAAUAUCCGAAAAAGGUCUAGCACAGACAAGAUUUAAUCAAUCACAAAUAGAGGACGAAUCAGUAGAUAAAAUGAUUAUAAAUAGAAACACUAAGAUGAAGAAAAUGAAUGCAACAUUGAUAUGAUACAGACAAAAUGAAUGCAACAUUGAUAUGAUACAGAGGUGAAUAACAAGAAUAACUCAAACACAUAGCAAUCAUUUAAGCAUAUCCACUACUCCAAUAUUUAGUAAAAUCCGAAAUAUAUGGCAACCAAAGUCUCCCUAACAGAUUGGUCAAAAGGAAAUUGAUAAAGUAAAAUAGUCGGGGUAAUGAAAUGGUAGUAAUGCUAGAGGUUUUCUUUUAGCUAGAUGGGAGGAGCGGAGAAAGGGAGGAUGGCAUUAAAGGUCGAAAGAAAACUUGCCCGAGAAUAUUUCAAGGAGCUAAGUGUACAUUACCAUCAUAUUCCUUGCGUAACAGGACCUCAGGAAUGUAAGCAGGUGUUCCUACAGCUGACUUGGGUUGUGAAUGCAAUAAUCCUGACUGCAUUAUGAAGAAAAUAGUAAAUAAAAAAUGUAAUAUCCUACUACAUAGAUGUAGAUAACUUUCCAAUUAGAACGCAAGAAACCUUAGAAUAACCGAAAUCAAUAUUUUAUGACGUGAUGUUGGGCUUCCAUCAAGUUCAAAGUGGACAAGUAAAGUGAACGGAGAGAAUAAAAGAGUAAGUUGGACUAAUUGUUAAGAUGAAUGCAACAUUGGUAUGAGACAGAGGUGAAAUAAACAAGAAUAAUUCAAACACACAGCAAUCAAUUACCAACAGAGAGCUUUUGUGGAGCUUGAAUCUCUACUAUGCACCUAACAUUAAUCUAUACUAACACUAAAUCUUAAAGAAAUGGCAGCAAAGGAGCAAUAUGUUUGAAGCAAGAAUCCUAGUAGCAAGAACAUACUUCUAUCUGUUAAGGAUUCUCAAGCCAAAGAUUUCAUUGAUAAACAAAAGACUCAAUCUAUUAUAUGUUAAAUGAGGGACUCAAACAGUGAUUAAAACACUCAAACGAAGUAAGACAGAUCAGCAUAUUGCGAUGAAGAUCCACAAACGAGUAAACCAAAAUACAUAGCAGAUUCAUAUGAUACUUAGACAAACAGUGAACUAAGACUGGAAAUCAAAGCAAAGAAACAACAAGACAUUGAGCAUCUAGAAAGAAAAUUCAAAAGAUGAUCCUAAUUCAUACUACAUUAAGCAACAUAUAGAGAUAGUAAUAUUUCUUAAACUGCUAUUAAAAAUAAAUAACAGCUAUUUGCCAAACUUAAACCAGAAACAGAUGUACCGCUAUUUAACUAAACAGAGAAUUAACUGGAAAAAGAUGAAGCAUUAAAGGAGAAAAAGGUUACCUUUUUCUGGGCAGCAAUUGGGACGAGACGAAGUUUCCACCACUGAAAUGGUGGCUGGACUCCCACGAACAAAGAAGCUUGAUACAGCCGAAGAAGAAAACGCUUCCAUUAGCUAUAUGAAAACCCCUCUGUUUUAGAUGAUUAAGAUUUUGUGUUUUUUUAUGGUCAAAUCCGUGAAGGAAGGGGGUUUACAGGGAGAAAAUUGGUGGAUUUUGUGGGGGAAACCUGCAGAAACUUAGAAAAGGGAGGUGUUCAAAUGUCUGUCAAUCUAUAUAAACACAUAGCAAUCAUAUGCACUUAAAAUUAAUCUAUACAAACACAUAUCAAUCAUAUGCACUCAAUGUUAAUCUAUACUAACACUAAAACUUAAAGAAAUGGAAGCGAAGGAGCAACAUGUUUGAAGCAAAAAUCAUAGUAGCAAGAACAUAGUUUAUCUGUAAAGGAUUCUGAAGCCAAAGAUUCCAUCGAUAAACAAAAGAUUCAAUCCAUUAUUUGCUUAAACGACUCAAAGAAAGACAGAUCAGCCUAUGCAAUGAAGAUCGACAAACGAGUAAACCAAAAUACAUAGCAGAUUCAUGAUAUACUUAGACAAACAGUGAACUAAGACUGCAAAUCAAAACACUGAUAUAAUAAUGGGAAAAUAAACAACAAAGACAUUAAGCAUCUGGAAAGAAAAUUCAAAAGAUGAUCCUAAUUCAUACCACAUUAAACAGUAGAGACAGUAAUAUUUCUUAAACUCACUACUAAAAAUAAACAACAACUAUUUGCCAAACUUAAACAAGAAACAGAGAAUUAAUUGGAAAAAAAAAUGAAGCAAGAAAGGAGAAAAGGGUUACCUUUUUCAAGACAGCAACGAAGAUCUCACCACUGAAACGGUCGCUGGACUCUGACGAACAAAGAAGCCUGAUGCAGCAGAAGAAGAAAACGUUUUCCUAUAAAAAAUCCUAAAAUCUGAGCUGCUAUAUUAGCUAUCUGAAAACCCUCGCUCUGUUUUAGAUGAUGAAGAAUUUAUGUGUUCAAAAAAGGGGAUUUGUAGGGAGAAAAUGGGUGGAUGUUGGGGGGAAAACAACGGUCGGAAAUUUUUGUAAGAGACGAGUUCAAAUUUUGAAAAUUCCUUGGAGGAUAAGGAUCCUAACAAAUUUGAGUCGAAAACUGAAAGAAGGACGUUGGGAUUCCUUCUUGAAGGUGUGAUCAUUUAGGCUGGCUACUCUAUUUAUUACUAUGAAUGAAAUAAACAAUGAUAUAUACAUUUUAAAAAAUUAAAUAUAAGGUAAAAAGAAUAAGAAACUUACCUAAAUACUUUACUAUAUUCUAUAAAAUUUGUAUGUAUAAGCCCAUGAACUUUUUAGUGAUAUGACUUUCGUACGAUGUACUAUAAGUGAAGUCUUACAUUGAGUGUUGUAUUGUACUUGAGUGAUGUAUUGGAAAUUGGGACGCGAUGUAUCAGGACAUUGAGUGAUGUAUUCGAAAUUGGGACUCGAUAUAUCCCAACGUUGAGUGAUGUAUUCGAAAUCCUUAAAUUUUAAGGAACUUUUGUAAUUUGGAAAAGAGUAGGGAUAAUGGAUAUCGCCGCUCUGUUGUGAGCGAGAUAUAUAGAAAAUAGACGGUCGCAAAAUCUAAAGAUAUUUCACUUCGAGUUGGGUGAUUUGUCCAUUUAAGUUAAUUACCAAAACAAGUGACCUUUUUGUAUUUUAGAGGGAAAAAAAGUAGCCCUUUUGACUUCGAAUUCAAAGUAAAUAUCUUCCAUAUAUAAAAAUAUUAACCCGUUUAAAGGGUUCCUUUCCUUGACGAAUUGGUAUGGUUGCUUUAAAACUUCACCAUUAAAAGGACAUGUAUUCUAAAAUAGUUAGUAGCCGUAUUGAUUAACUUAUUUUUAGAUAUUUUUUACUUUUAAGCACUUUAUUAGUUUUGAAGGUAUUUAGAUUUAAAAGUCAAACACUUUCAUAACCAGAAAAAUGUUUAAAAGUCAAAAUCAUUUAAAAAUAAAUUAAUUCAGUCGGGCACAUAAAUAGAUAUGAUAAUAUGAUCGGUAUCAAAAGACUUGCUUUCGACCUUUUACACCCCCUAGAAUUUACGACCCAAAUUUUCUUGAGGUCUUCAAAGUUCAACCUACAGUAUUCACCACAUACAAACUUCUGGCUCUUUUGAUUUAUUGGCUUUAGAAAAAGGUGCUCGGUAGGCUCUGGACUCCUUUGGUGCGACGAAAGCGAAAAGAUGGCCUGGCCAGACUGCUCAGAUUUGACGUUUGGUGUGUGUAUUUAUUUCAGUUCCAUCAAAUUGGUUGCAUUACUUGUAAAGAUCAGUUCAUCAAUAGAGUGCUUAAAACCUUUUUUGGCCGGCUGACUAAAUAUUGUUUGGUGAUGAGACUAACAAAGAUAUUUAACGUGUUUAAUAUUUCGUGAAAUUAUUUUAUUUGGUCAUUAAUAUAUUAUUAUGCCAGCUGUCUUAUGUCUAUACGGCUAUACCAAACUUGUAGACUUCUCUUUUAGUGCUAAGCCAUGAAAUUCUCCAGAAACAUCAAGUGUAAGCGUAAGAAUUAGACGUAAUAUGGAGACUGCGACUGAACUGCAACAUUAGAUGCAUUGGUUUAGACAAGAUAAAGGGGCCUCUUUCCAGCUAAAUCAAGCAUGCAUUACCUCAGUAAAGAACACCUCUAUAGACUAUAAGACACAGGAAGUGAAAUGUGCUUUGUUCAUUAUUUCAUACAACAGUAUAGAAAUUUAGACUAUAUCUUGAGACAAGAUGCUAUGUAUUUCAGAUCUCCACAAAGCAGUUCCCUGUGGUUCUCACUUCUCAACUUGUCACUUGAACUAAAUUGUCCCAAUUAGUCUUUCUUGUCGACAUCAGCCUCAGAUUUGACCGCAGAUUCAGUAGCCACAGUCUCUGAAGGGGCAUCAGCACAAGCCUUGGAACCUUUUGAUGGACCAUCAUCUUCCAAUGGCUUGGCACUCCCUGAAGCAUCACCCUCGGCUGGCUUAGCUUCACCAUCAGUUGCUUCAACAGAUCCGUCAUUAGCUUCCCCAUCAUUUACUGGCGGCACUGCCUGCUUCACAGUCCCAACUUUGACGUAUUUGCUCAUGAAUUUGUACUCCCAAUCUUGUCAAGGCAUCAAGCUCAAAUGCACCUAAGGCCAGAAAUAUCCCCUGUGAGAUCUUUUUCCUCAAAGGACAGCUUGGCAAGAGCUCUACUAGCAUCCUUUCCAGCAAACAAUGCAUAAGGUCCCCCAGGUCCAUAGAACAUUCUGCAGGAACACACACAUUUAAACACCAAGAUGACAAGUCCUCAGCAUUUCAUAAAGCUUAAUGGUUGAUUAUGAUAUGUUAGGUUUACAUUUGAGUAAGGAACUUAUUCAGACUCGUAUCAAGAUAUUUG
RNAcentral lists this long non-coding RNA (25058 nucleotides) under Solanum tuberosum (potato). RNAcentral's name for it is "long non-coding RNA (STUB_LNC006517)". Lineage: Eukaryota; Viridiplantae; Streptophyta; Magnoliopsida; Solanales; Solanaceae. The record is from RNAcentral.